Paramuricea clavata is the source of this 274-nucleotide non-coding RNA. The record is from the annotation of a GenBank genome assembly. NCBI's taxonomy places the organism in Eukaryota, Metazoa, Cnidaria, Anthozoa, Malacalcyonacea, Plexauridae.
GUCUGAUGGUAUUGUAAAGUCUUUAAAAUUAUCAACCUUAAUAUUACAUAACUGCAGUAAAUAUUUUGUGAAUAAAACUGGUUGUAAAUUGGAUUGCAUGCAUACUCUUGCCGCAUCACUAGCAAGGUUAUUUGUGAGAGUUGGAGAUUUUAUGCGACACCAAAAUUUUGCUAUAAAUGUAGCUAUUUCGACAAUCAGAGGUGUCCGUCCUAUCUCACCAUAUACAGCUAGAUUUGUUGAUUUUGAAUGAACGCCUAGAAUUCUUUUACAGAAU